CUUCACUUUAGUAUUCCGCGGACCGCAGCACGGAACGCACGUUCUGCUUGCUCCGACAUCCACAUAACAUAAACUUGCUAAUUGGUGUACUUUGUAAUCAACAAGUGAUAUCGAACAAGUUAAUAAGAUAUUGUAAUCCAAACUUACCGAUAGGAAAGCUUGUUUUCGUUGCAAGGACAGUGAUAUGAAAGUUUAGUUUGCGGGCUUAUAGUGAUAUUUUUGGUAAAUUUUGUUCAACUACGGGAUUUCUGCGUGCGAAAGAAUAAUAAGAUUUCGUACAGCUGAAGGUGGAUUCUUAAACGUUACUGGUUACUCCGCCGUUUUGGUAAGUUUUCGCACAUAUGCC
This is a long non-coding RNA of Ostrinia furnacalis (Asian corn borer), 346 nucleotides long. RefSeq lists it as uncharacterized. The transcript is spliced from 3 exons. NCBI's taxonomy places the organism in Eukaryota, Metazoa, Arthropoda, Insecta, Lepidoptera, Crambidae. The record is from RefSeq and is a predicted model, not a curated record.